RNAcentral lists this ribosomal RNA (301 nucleotides) under uncultured bacterium. RNAcentral's name for it is "partial 16S ribosomal RNA". It matches the Rfam family "Bacterial small subunit ribosomal RNA", at positions 509 to 807 of the family's 1533-position model. The record is from RNAcentral.
CAGCCGCCGCGGUAAUACGAAGGGGGCUAGCGUUGUUCGGAAUCACUGGGCGUAAAGCGCACGUAGGCGGAUACUUAAGUCAGGGGUGAAAUCCCGGGGCUCAACCUCGGAACUGCCUUUGAUACUGGGUAUCUUGAGUCCGGGAGAGGUUGGUGGGACUCCGAGUGUAGAGGUGAAAUUCGUAGAUAUUCGGAAGAACACCAGUGGCGAAGGCGGCCAACUGGCCCGGUACUGACGCUGAGGUGCGAAAGCGUGGGGAGCAAACAGGAUUAGAUACCCGAGUAGUCCCUGUCUCUUAUAC